Molecule: ribosomal RNA, 468 nt
Filed under: uncultured bacterium
Lineage: Bacteria
Description: partial 16S ribosomal RNA
Rfam family: Bacterial small subunit ribosomal RNA
Source: RNAcentral
GACGAACGCUGGCGGCGUGCUUAACACAUGCAAGUCGAACGGAAAGGCCCUGCUUUUGUGGGGUGCUCGAGUGGCGAACGGGUGAGUAACACGUGAGUAACCUGCCCUUGACUUUGGGAUAACUUCAGGAAACUGGGGCUAAUACCGGAUAGGAGCUCCUGUUGCAUGGAGGGGGUUGGAACGUUUCGGCGGUUGGGGAUGGACUCGCGGCUUAUCAGCUUGUUGGUGGGGUAGUGGCUUACCAAGGGUUUGACGGGUAGCCGGCAUGGGAGGGUGACCGGCCACAUUGGGACUGCGAUACGGACCAGACUCCUACGGUAGGCAGCAGUGGGGAGUAUUGCACAGUGAGCCGAAGCCUGAUGAAGCAACGCCGCGUGCGGGAUGACGUCCUUCUGGUUGUGAACAGCUUUCGCCUGUGACGACGCGUGAGUGACGGUAAUGGGUAAAGAAGCACCGGCUAACUACGUG